AGAGUUUGAUCUUGGCUCAGGACGAACGCUGGCGGCGUGCUUAACACAUGCAAGUCGAGCGAAGCAUAUUAGGUAGCUUGCUACCUGAUUUGACUGAGCGGCGAACGGGUGAGUAACACGUGGGUGAUCUGCCUGAAAGCCUGGGACAACAGUUGGAAACGGCUGCUAAUACCGGAUAAAGUCUAGUAUUCGUUUAUUAGACCAAAGAAUUUCGCUUUCAGAUGAGCCCGCGUCCCAUUAGCUAGUUGGUAGGGUAAAGGCCUACCAAGGCGACGAUGGGUAGCCGGUCUGAGAGGAUGGACGGCCACACUGGAACUGAGACACGGUCCAGACUCCUACGGGAGGCAGCAGUGGGGAAUUUUGCGCAAUGGGCGAAAGCCUGACGCAGCGACGCCGCGUGAGUGAUGAAGGCCUUCGGGUUGUAAAGCUCUGUCGAGGGGGAAGAUAAUGACGGUACCCCUCAAGAAAGCCCCGGCUAACUACGUGCCAGCAGCCGCGGUAAGACGUAGGGGGCGAGCGUUGUCCGGAAUUACUGGGCGUAAAGGGCUGUAGGCGGCUAUUAAGUCAGNUGUGAAAUCCCCCGGCUCAACUGGGGGCUGCAGUUAAAUACAUGCUUGAGUUCAGAGAGU
RNAcentral lists this ribosomal RNA (629 nucleotides) under uncultured bacterium. RNAcentral's name for it is "bacterial SSU rRNA". It matches the Rfam family "Bacterial small subunit ribosomal RNA", at positions 8 to 656 of the family's 1533-position model. The record is from RNAcentral.